Non-coding RNA from Xyrichtys novacula (pearly razorfish), 742 nucleotides. Lineage: Eukaryota; Metazoa; Chordata; Actinopteri; Labriformes; Labridae. The record is from the annotation of a GenBank genome assembly.
CAGGAAUGAAAUAAAGGCACAGGAAGUCAGAGAAAUGUCACCGGCAGGUACUUGAGUUUUUUCCUCUUUUUAUAUCCAACAUUAUGAGUAAAAAUCGCUCUGAUUACAUUCACUCAAUAGAGAAUCACGUCCAGUUUCAGCUCAGUCUGGAUGGUGAAACUGGACCAAAUAGAAAAUUCAACAUUACCGUUUCUCUGGAGGCUUUAAUGUGUCAGAAAAGUGUUUAAAACACUUGCUGCUCGUCUUUAAAUCCCUUAUUAGCCCAGGACUAAAAUCCAUCUCUGUCCUUAACUGAAUAAACCCUCAGACUCUCAUCAGGCUGCUCACUGAGCAAAAGACUACACCGAGAAAAGCAGAUUAACUUGUGCAGAAGAGAGUGACAGCCACUGAAAACGGUUCUUUAAGGUCCGAUCAUUUUUCUUCAAGUUUUGACUUUUAUGUCAAAAGUCUGAGAAGAAAAGUAAAGUUGAAAAUUCAGUCUUAUUUUUUCUGUUUUUUUUUCAGGCGUCCUGCAGAGUUUGAAAAAUGAAAAUGCUGCAGCAGAGCGCUGACCAGAACCAGGAGAAGAGAGCACUUCUGUUAGCCUCUCUUCACUGACUUCAUAAUAAAUUUAGACUCAAAUAAAAAACUCUUCUUCAGAUGGUCAGGCACCAUCAUGUCCGGAAGAGCUCGUAGUUCACGAUUAUCCUCCCAGAACACUCCGGUCUCAGCAUGCAGACCAGCUCAUCGUACCUAAAGUCUC